Rosa rugosa (rugosa rose) is the source of this 1252-nucleotide long non-coding RNA. RefSeq lists it as uncharacterized. The transcript has 3 exons. The record is from RefSeq and is a predicted model, not a curated record. NCBI's taxonomy places the organism in Eukaryota, Viridiplantae, Streptophyta, Magnoliopsida, Rosales, Rosaceae.
ACUAUAUACUAAAGCUCCUACACUGUUUAUUAAACAGUGAUUUGGCUUCAAGUGGUUGGACCAUUUUGCCCUCGCUUCAAUUUUUUUUUUUUUCGGGCUCUACCUCGGAUCUGGAUAUCUUCGCAUUGUUUUGCUCUUUCUUCUACAAUCUUCUGACCAUCUUUAUCAAUUGUUGAGAGAGAGAGAGAUCGGUUGUGUGUGUUUGCUUCGCACGAGGAGGUAGAGAGAUAGAUCGGAGGGAAAGUUUGAAUCCUCAAUCCGGGUUUAGAGAUAGAGAGAGUUAGAGAGAUCGGUUGUGUUUGUUUGCUUCGGACGAGGAGGUAGAGAGAUAGAUCGGAGGAAAAGUUUGAAUCUUCAAUCCGACCACAAUAAAGUUCCUUGGUUUGCUGAGUUCUUCUUUGGUUUGAUCAAAGGCUGUGGUUUUGGUAGAUUUUGACAGAGUGAGGAUUGCAGAGAGGCUGUGCGCACAUUAGCAAAGCAGAGCAACUGGUGGAGUUCAAUGCAGCUCCACGUUUUAUUCUAUACUUAUUUUGGCUAGGAAAACAUAGAUAUUUUGGUAUCUGUUUUGCUUGCAUUGUGAUGUGGGUAUCUGUCUUGCUUUGGACUGAAUUUUUUUUUGUCAUAAUUCUAGCUCUGAAAUCUUAGAAUAAAAGUACCAAAAGCCAUCUCUGGAAUCGUAUAAUUGUCAAUACUGAGUGACUACAUUUUGUAUCCAUUAGUAUUCAAAUGUAAUAUACAUGAUUAUUCAAAAUUAGGUCACUUUAAAACAAAUUGCAAACAACGAUUGCUCCGCAGCAAAUCGCGGGCACAUUUUCUAGUCAGAAAUUGAGAGACUUACAGUGGUCGGCCAUGUCGAAGGUGGAGAGGCCGGCGUCGGCGUAGCGGAGCAUGGCCUCAACGGCGUCGUCUCGGUCGAUGCGGCCCCAGGCGCCGCUGGUCUGCCACAUUCCGUUCAGGACUCGGCAUAUGUCCAACGAAUCGUUGCCGUUACUCACUGUGACUCGGUUGGUCUCGCUGCUGCUGCUCACCUGAGUUGCCUCGCCGACGCACCUGACCGAGUUGGACCGCGGUCUGGGCCGAGUUGAAAAUGGUGAUUUGAACGACGUCAGAUUGGGCAGGAGGUUGUGUAAAUGGAGAGUUGCCAUUUUCGCGGGGAGUGUGGAAGCAAUUGGCGGUAAUUGGUGAAGGCUCGGAAAUGAAAUGAUAAGGCGAUGUUCAGAAUAUGUAAAAAGGGCAACUCCAACUAUAGUGA